Homo sapiens (human) is the source of this 95-nucleotide unclassified non-coding RNA. It matches the Rfam family "Y RNA". From Rfam's summary of the family: Y RNAs are components of the Ro ribonucleoprotein particle (Ro RNP), in association with Ro60 and La proteins. The Y RNAs and Ro60 and La proteins are well conserved, but the function of the Ro RNP is not known. In humans the RNA component can be one of four small RNAs -- hY1, hY3, hY4 and hY5. NCBI's taxonomy places the organism in Eukaryota, Metazoa, Chordata, Mammalia, Primates, Hominidae. The record is from Ensembl.
GGCCAGUGUGAGUACAGUGGUGUUAAGUGAACACAGCCAGUUACAGAUUUCCUUGUUGCUUCUCUACCCCCAAAGCUUCACUUUAUUAGCCUUAA